This 263-nucleotide ribosomal RNA is filed under the name uncultured bacterium. RNAcentral describes it as "partial 16S ribosomal RNA". It matches the Rfam family "Bacterial small subunit ribosomal RNA", at positions 57 to 305 of the family's 1533-position model. The record is from RNAcentral.
GCAAGUUGAGCGGUAAGGCCCCUUCGGGGGUACACGAGCAGCGAACGGGUGAGUAUCGCGUGGGUAAUCUACCUAGAGGUGGGGGAUAGCCUCGGGAAACCGGGGGUAAUACCGCAUAUGUCUUGGAUGGCGGAAGCCGACCUGGGCAAAGGCGGGGCUCCUUCGGGACCUGUCGCCACUGGAUGAGCCCGCGUCCGAUUAGCUUGUUGGUGAGGUAAUGGCUCACCAAGGCGACGAUCGGUAGCCGGCCUGAGAGGGUGAAC